This 562-nucleotide ribosomal RNA is filed under the name uncultured bacterium. Its description in RNAcentral is "partial 16S ribosomal RNA". It matches the Rfam family "Bacterial small subunit ribosomal RNA", at positions 355 to 1376 of the family's 1533-position model. The record is from RNAcentral.
UGGGGAAUAUUGGACAAUGGGCGCAAGCCUGAUCCAGCCAUGCCGCGUGAGUGAUGAAGGCCCUAGGGUUGUAAAGCUCUUUCACCGGUGAAGAUAAUGACGGUAACCGGAGAAGAAGCCCCGGCUAACUUCGUGCCAGCAGCCGCGGUAAUACGAAGGGGGCUAGCGUUGUUCGGAAUUACUGGGCGUAAAGCGCACGUAGGCGGACAUUUAAGUCAGGGGUGAAAUCCCGGGGCUCAACCCCGGAACUGCCUUUGAUACUGGGUGUCUAGAGUUCGAGAGAGGUGAGUGGAAUUCCGAGUGUAGAGGUGAAAUUCGUAGAUAUUCGGAGGAACACCAGUGGCGAAGGCGGCUCACUGGCUCGAUACUGACGCUGAGGUGCGAAAGCGUGGGGAGCAAAACAGGAUUAGAUACCCUGGUAGUCCACGCCGUAAACGAUGGAAGCCAGCUGUCGGCAAGUUUACUUGUCGGUGGCGCAGCUAACGCAUUAAGCUUCCCGCCUGGGGAGUACGGUCGCAAGAUUAAAACUCAAAUGAAUUGACGGGGUCAUAGCUGUUUCCUG